UACGUAGGUGGCAAGCGUUGUCCGGAUUUAUUGGGUUUAAAGGGUGCGUAGGUGGGCUAGUAAGUCCGUGGUGAAAUCUCCAAGCUUAACUUGGAAACUGCCGUGGAUACUAUUAGUCUUGAAUAUUGUGGAGGUAAGCGGAAUAUGUCAUGUAGCGGUGAAAUGCUUAGAUAUGACAUAGAACACCGAUAGCGAAGGCAGCUUGCUACACAAUCAUUGACACUGAGGCACGAAAGCGUGGGGAUCAAACGGG
Molecule: ribosomal RNA, 253 nt
Filed under: uncultured bacterium
Lineage: Bacteria
Description: partial 16S ribosomal RNA
Rfam family: Bacterial small subunit ribosomal RNA
Source: RNAcentral